This 4192-nucleotide long non-coding RNA is filed under the name Brachypodium distachyon (stiff brome). RNAcentral describes it as "long non-coding RNA (BDIS_LNC002131)". The record is from RNAcentral. Lineage: Eukaryota; Viridiplantae; Streptophyta; Magnoliopsida; Poales; Poaceae.
UGCCGGCAGCGGGCUGCACGAAUCAUCUCCAUCAACACCUGCUGCUCCCCCACGCACCGAAGAAAUCAAGAACCAAGGAACGCGAGCACGACGACCACCUGCAACAUCCUCCCCUUCUCCAAGUGCUGCUGCCCUCUCCUUUGGUUAAAUCCCCACCGAACUCUCUCUCUCUCUCUCCUACUUGUUGCUUGCUGUUUGUGUGUACAAGAACUGAGAAAGAACAUGCUGUUGAUCUUUGGAAAGUUAGCUGAGCCUUGCACUGUGUUAAACUCUCUCUUUAGCUUCUGGCCGAUGUGUGCACUUAAUUAUUGUUCUAUGUUAUAAUCUACUCUGAUAUUUGUGAAUGUGGCUGUGUGUAUACUUGUUGAUGUGUUUCGUGCAAUUUUCUAUCCCUAUCUAAAAACUUGCUUCUUCCCAGUCUUAUAUGUUUGCUGGUGAAAUUACUUUCUGUCAAUAUUGUUCUUUGUCUUUGCUUCUGCCCCUGUCUUUGAUGUAUGCUUGUCUUAGUGUUUUAGAUUCUAAAGUAAAUUGAAAAUACCAAAAAAAUAUUGCAGUCAUUCUGUACCUUGAAUCUCAUAAUUGUUUCUAUCCUUAUCUUGGAUAAUUGCUUGUGAUGUUUCGUGGUAGAUGAUCUUGUCUUGCUUUAUAGUGGGAAAUCUUCUCUUUGUUUGUUUUAAAUGCCAAAAUCCUUUCUUGUGAUCUAGCUUUAACCGAACAUUGUUGUCGCUGCCUAGUGCCUGUGGAGAAUCUCAACAAAAACUACUAUAUUUGCAUUGAUCAAAUUGGCGCCGUUGCCGGGGACUAGCAGCGAGCGAUUGUGUUAGGUUAUAGACUAGGUGUUUUUCCCCUUGUUUAGUAACCCCUAUUCUAGGUGUUUCUCUGUUUUCUAUUUGUUUCUUGUCAUAUUUAACAGGUUAUAUUAUCAUCUUGGUCAUGUCAUACUAUUCAGAUUAUUAUGGAUAUGCGAGCAGUAGCGGCAACAACAUAACAAGUCUUCAAGAUAAGAUAAAUGAGUUGUCUGGUCAGAAGCAAAUGUUAUCAAGUAAAAUAGAACAACACAAUUUGCAGCAAGGAAAUGGUCUUCAGGGAGGCCCUGCUAUUUUGAUCCUUAUUCUGUAGGCCAUCCCCAUACUUAUGUUGCUCCUGAAUGUCAUAUUUGUGGAUAUCAAGGUCAUAUUCCCGUCGAGUGUCAGCUGGGUAAAUCUUUCACCCCAAAUUGUUAUGAUAUGGGUUUUACUCCACAGCAUGAUCUGUACCACAACAAUUACCCCCUAGUGGGCUUGAUAACCCAAAUAUUACAUUUAGGAACAGCAGCCCUGAGGACUCAUCUUUUUCUUCUAGCUAUCCUAUGCAGGGAUUUAGGAAUGAAGAGGCGAAGUCACAAGCUCAGUUAAAUUUUGAAGCAGAACAACAAGCUUGGUUUGAAGAUUUUAUGAAGACGCAGCAAGAGAAGAUGGUUCAUCCACAAUCAGCUAUACUUUCAGAUGUAGAUCAAGAACAUGUGAUUUCAGAAAAUGAAGAAAAAGUUGCUCAGAUUUGGGAAGAAGAGAGAUCCGAGAUUAAAGAAGAUGAUGCACUAGAAGACAAGACACACAAUGAGCAAGAGCUGGACUAUGGAAGUAGCAAAGAUAUAGUGGCUGCCAAUCUUGAAGAUAUUGAAGAUAAAGAGGCUAAUGGAGUGGAAAAUGAAGAUAAUGAGGAGAUUCAAGUCGACAUGUCAAUUAUCAUUCAGGAGUGUGAUGAAACAGGUUUAUCAAACCCAAUUAAUGACAUUCUUCCUUAUGAAUUCCCUGCUACUACCUUGCAUUGCUUGAUACCAUCACUUAAGGUAGAACUGAAUUGUGACUUUCUUAAAUUUGAUGAUGCAUACUUUGUUAGUGACAAUACUGAAAUUCAUGAUGAUGACUCAUGUUAAUCACAUGCUAAAAUUCUGCUUAUGGAUGCAUGCUCUAAGAUUACUCGCGUCUCACAUGUGAAUAUUUAUCAUUCUCACCUUGUGCUUUAUUGCUACGCUUACAUCAUUGGUUUUUCAAUUGAUGACUUAGAGGGUGUUGGUCCUUUGACCUCUCCUAGGUGCUAUUCAUAUGAUAUAACUGAGUUUAAUGUGAUAUAUCAUCAUCGCCAUGUUUUUUAUCGAUAUGUGUAUACCAUUGGAUACUCCAUUGAUAAUUUGGAGGGGGUUGACCCUGUCUCUUUUAGUUCUUGUUGUGAGUGUAUUUCAGGCAUAUCAUAGGUGCUUUGUCAGCUUGGAAAAGUCCAGAUUCGAGUUGACAUUCCUUGGGACCCUGGUGGAUAUGAGGUUUUGAGAUGGUGUAGCAAAGAGAGUUGUAUCACACUUGAAAUAAAAUGCUGAAGCAGAUGGGAUCGAGGGAAUCAAGAAGAGUUGUCGAAUUCAGAAGAUGAGUGGCUUGGUCUGAAGGGAAGGUGUAGUCUGAUAAAAAUAUAGUUCAAAUCAUCUAAAACACCAGGUGACUUGUUUCCAGUAUAUGAGAUCAUGUUUCUUCCAUUGCCUGCAACUUUUCUCAAACUGAUCACUGCUAUUCGUUAUUGGUCACAUCAUUGCUUUCUUGUUGAAGCUGUUCUUCUUUGAGAAUCACAUAACAUUGCUUUAACUUGUUGUUUUCUUACCGAAAAAAAAAGCUGCAUUAAUUUUUUUUGUGAUUGCUAUACUCCAGGAUCUUCAUAAUGAAAAGAUACAUCAACUUUCAGUUUAAACACAACAGCUAUUGGUGCAUGUUCUUAUUGCAGUAAUCUAAAGUAUACUUCAGAUUUGUUUUAUUUUCUGCUCUCAUUCCUAAUAAAUUAAGAUUCUGACAAAUCUGAAUGUCUCCUUAUGCUAGUUAGUCCUGUAUCGACUCAAUUGAUUAGUUGCUAAGUAGUAGCUAUGAUCCCGGGAUCUGUAGCUUGUGAAAACAGUGCUAUUGAUCAUAGGUUUCUUUACAAAAUCUUUUAUCCUGUUGCAAUUUGAGCUUUCAAUAAGUGGCUUGUCCACAAGUCUUUAAAUCUCUGAAUAAGUGGCUCAGCCACAGUGUUAUCCUUGCAAAUAAGUGACUAUGUCACAAUUUGUUUCAAUAAGUGGCAGUCCACAUUGCCUUGCUCUGUUUGAAUAAGUGACUCUGUCACAUCUUUAGUUUGGAAUAAGUGGUGCAAGCACCACAAUUUAUUGCAUUUCUUGUUUCGUUUUUAUUUUUGAAAAACCAUGAACCGUGACUCGUUACUGGACUGCUGUCAUAGUUUGAAUUCAGUUUGCAAAAUCUUCUUUAUUAGUUAGGGGAGCCUAAAAUAGUUUAAAUCUUCAGUAUACUUUGAGUACAAUAAUCAGAACAUACAGCUUUACCUGUUAAGUUUAAACUGAAGUUUCUUGGGUCCUUUUUAUUGUGACGGAAAUCCUAGUUGGAGUGAUUACAUACCUCGUUUCAUGCUGUUGUCUCAUUUGCGAUCUGUUUCCUCAUUUGCAUAUCUCUUUGCUUGAGGACAAGCAAAAGUUUAAGUGUGGGGGUGUGAUAAGCAUCAUAUUUGCACUAUUUUCUGGCCAUAAUUAUAUCUGAAAUCUUGUGUUUUGAACUCUGAAUUAUUCUAAAAUGCCAAGAAUUUAUACAAAUACUUGUAAUAUGUGGCAAAAAUUACAUUGUAGCUUUUCUUUUGCAGUUAAGUGCGAAAAGGCACAUACUCUUCUCAUUUUGGACGAGCUGCUGAUGCACCUAUACACCGAAGGACUUGAGCAUAAGGAAAGAGGAAAGAAAGGGCUGAAGUGAAGAAAAAAAAGACCAACUUGCAAAAGAAGAAGAAAGGAGAAGGGCCUGGAUGUAAAAAUGUCAAAGGGAUUAAACCCUAACUCCUGCUCUCGAUCCCCUUGAGCCUGGCACUUCCCCUUUCCCCUAUCUCCUGCUGCACCACCGGCCGCCGCCGCAGCCAGGCUAGCGUGGCGGUGCACCACCGAGCUAGCUGCAGCCCCUUCCCGAUAUCCACUACUGCUCAUCCUCCAUACCGCCUCUGCCAACAGCGGGCUGCACGAAUCCUCUCCAUCAACACCUGUUGCUCCCCACUCACCGAAGAAAUCAACAGCCAAGGAACGCGAGCACGACGACCACCUGCAACAUCCUCCCCUUCUCCAAGUGCUGCUGCCCUCUCCUUUGGUUAAAUCCCCACCGAACUCUCUCUCUCUCUCUCUCUCUCUCCUACUUGUUGCUUG